Molecule: ribosomal RNA, 253 nt
Filed under: uncultured bacterium
Lineage: Bacteria
Description: partial 16S ribosomal RNA
Rfam family: Bacterial small subunit ribosomal RNA
Source: RNAcentral
GACGAACCGUGCGAACGUUGUUCGGAAUCACUGGGCUUAAAGGGCGCGUAGGCGGGCUGUCAAGUCUGGGGUGAAAUCCCGCGGCUCAACCGUGGAACUGCCUCGGAUACUGACUGCCUCGAGGAAGGUAGGGGCAUGCGGAACUGUAGGUGGAGCGGUGAAAUGCGUUGAUAUCUACAGGAACUCCGGUGGCGAAAGCGGCGUGCUGGACCUUUUCUGACGCUGAGGCGCGAAAGCUAGGGGAGCAAACGGG